RNAcentral lists this ribosomal RNA (248 nucleotides) under uncultured Actinomycetales bacterium. Its description in RNAcentral is "partial 16S ribosomal RNA". It matches the Rfam family "Bacterial small subunit ribosomal RNA", at positions 85 to 334 of the family's 1533-position model. The record is from RNAcentral. Lineage: Bacteria; Bacillati; Actinomycetota; Actinomycetes; Actinomycetales.
GGGUGCUCGAGUGGCGAACGGGUGAGUAACACGUGAGUAACCUGCCCUUGACUUUGGGAUAACUUCAGGAAACUGGGGCUAAUACCGGAUAGGAGCUCCUGCUGCAUGGUGGGGGUUGGAAAGUUUCGGCGGUUGGGGAUGGACUCGCGGCUUAUCAGCUUGUUGGUGGGGUAGUGGCUUACCAAGGCUUUGACGGGUAGCCGGCCUGAGAGGGUGACCGGCCACAUUGGGACUGAGAUACGGCCCGG